CAGAUAUUGGCGCUUGGCUCUGUUCACGAGUGGUGUUUGCAAUGAUGGAUCGCCUCGAGCACGAUUAGAGUACGUUUUCGGAUAUGAUCAAACGGUGAAGUUAGAUAAGUAUAUUUAAUAUUCAUGAUUAAGUGAUCCGAAUUUUCGGAAGCCGAUAUUCAGCGGUUGUCUAAAAAUCGCUAUCGCGUUACAACAACAGCCGCGACCGGGAGCCUGUCGCAAUCCGGGGGGUAAAGAGAUAAUUUCUCCCCUACAAGAUCCAAAAAAAUCACAAAAAAUCCGCCAAAUCAUUCGAUAAACUGUCUCGCGUCAAACUCACAGGGACGCUGGAGGUUGAUUGGAUACGUCUGAAAUACCGCCCAGCAUGAUAUUCUCCUUCUCGUUGCUCGAGAGCGACCAACGCCGUCAUACGGGAAGGCGCGAAUCGUGACCGCCAACAUUUGCCUCCUAUUUGCAGGCGACGAACGGAGAUCAGCGAUAAUUUCCUGUUUGCCACGGAUGUUCACCACAACCUAGAUUGUUUCCUCGCGCCAACCGAGCGAGAUUAUCGCCGAUGAUGGAGAUGAUGAUUAAACGUAAUUCAUCAAGUUCAAACGCUAGUUGACAGCAGGUGCGUGACGCGUUAGUUCGGACAUAUAGAUCAUGUGCCGGGCGAAAGUGAUUUUUUACCAUUAGCUGAUAGAUAAAAGAAGGUAUAGGUAUACUGAAGUACUUCAAUAGAUAAUUAUGGAAAGGAUCGAUUAUAUACCGACAUGGGUAUAGUCCUGCCCCGUUGAACAAUGAAAGACCGCAUGUGUAAGAUGUAUUCAAAAUAUUGCCGAAAACUAUUUUUGUCAUGGUUCUGACUCAACAGUAAAUUUGACACCCAAAGUUUCAAUUUUUAUUAAGGGGGGACCUCUGUCUGGAAGGUCGAAAAAUGAUAAAUUUUCGUGAUUUUUUUACGGAUGUUAGAAAUAAAGUGAAGUACUCGGGUAUUUUGUUUAUUGUUUAAGGUAUAUUUGAAGAUGUUUUUUCUCAUUUUUUGAGAGCAUGAAUAAUGAUUAUCACGCUAUUGGAAGCUGGAUGUGUAGAUGUUGUCUGAAAAUCGGUACCUUGCUGGUGGUAUCGGUUCUGAAGCAACGGGGCAUCGCAGAACAUGAUGAUAGAAAAUUUCAGCCAAAUCGGUCGAGUAGAUCCUGAAAUAUUGAUACCACCAGUUGAGAGUACAUGGUUUCGAGAAAAACGCGUUUAAAAAUCACACAGCAAUACUAUAUUCUUUGAGGUGACUUCGUACUUUUGGCUGUAACUUUCCAACGAAAUCAAAUAUUGAAAAAUCCUUUUAGGACAACAUUUCUGAGGGCAUAAGCUUCCGAAAAAUGCAAAAAACUAAAAUUCCAAUAUUAAUAGCGACGUUUUAGGGAAAAGACAAGAAGUGAGUUAUGUUUGUGAUAUAAUUGAAGGACGUAGGACUAACAUUGGGAUGGUAACCAUUUGUUUGAAGUUUCAUCUGAAUCAAUUCUCAAUGAUGUGCUGCUCUUGUUUCUAAAAGGGACUUU
Molecule: long non-coding RNA, 1535 nt
Organism: Toxorhynchites rutilus septentrionalis
Lineage: Eukaryota; Metazoa; Arthropoda; Insecta; Diptera; Culicidae
Exons: 3
Source: RefSeq, a predicted model, not a curated record